AACGAACGCUGGCGGCGCGCCUAAUACAUGCAAGUCGAACGAGAAGGUGUAGCAAUACACUUGUACAGUGGCGAACGGGUGAGGAAUGCAUGGGCAACCUACCCUCGAGUGGGGAAUAACCAGCCGAAAGGUUGGCUAAUACCGCGUACGCUUCCGGGUCUCCGGAUCCGGAAGGAAAGUCACACCGUGGGUGUGACGCUCAAGGAUGGGCUCAUGUCCUAUCAGCUUGUUGGNGAGGUAACGGCUCACCAAGGCAACGACGGGUAGCUGGUCUGAGAGGACGAUCAGCCACACUGGCACUGCGACACGGGCCAGACUCCUACGGGAGGCAGCAGUAAGGAAUAUUGCGCAAUGGGCGAAAGCCUGACGCAGCGACGCCGCGUGGGGGAUGAAGGUCUUCGGAUUGUAAACCCCUUUUAGGUAGGGAAAAGUGGGACGAGCAAUCGUCCGGAUGGUACCUCCAGAAAAAGCCACGGCUAACUUCGUGCCAGCAGCCGCGGUAAU
RNAcentral lists this ribosomal RNA (504 nucleotides) under uncultured bacterium. RNAcentral describes it as "bacterial SSU rRNA". It matches the Rfam family "Bacterial small subunit ribosomal RNA", at positions 29 to 524 of the family's 1533-position model. The record is from RNAcentral.